Molecule: transfer RNA, 64 nt
Filed under: Cavia porcellus (domestic guinea pig)
Lineage: Eukaryota; Metazoa; Chordata; Mammalia; Rodentia; Caviidae
Rfam family: tRNA
About the family: Transfer RNA (tRNA) molecules are approximately 80 nucleotides in length.
Source: Rfam by way of RNAcentral
GGGGAUUUAGCUCAGUGGCAUAAGCACCUGCCUUGCAUGCAGACGGUCGUGAGUUCAAUCCCCG